ACUUAAAUAGUUUAAUUAAAAUAUUGAUUUGUGGUGUCAAUGAUGUAAUUUUUUACUUUAAGUU
RNAcentral lists this transfer RNA (64 nucleotides) under Rhaphidophora quadrispina. Its description in RNAcentral is "tRNA-His". The record is from RNAcentral. Lineage: Eukaryota; Metazoa; Arthropoda; Insecta; Orthoptera; Rhaphidophoridae.